AUGGACCCGCGCUUCCAGCUGGCAACUCCGGUGCCGUCCUCCGGCGGCGCUGGUGUGCGAGGGCACCACCGGCGGGCCCAUUCGGAGACGUUUCUGCGCUUCCCCGACACCGACCUCUUCCUCGACCCCGAUGGAGACUUCUCCUUCUCCGACCUCGACUUCCCAUCCCUCUCCGACGACUCCCCGGCGGUCUCCGACCCGACCCCGCCUCCUCCCCCGCCGAUGGCGGCCAGCUCGUCCCAGACACCGGCUCCCCGUCCACCGGGCGGGACCCACAACAGGAGCCUCUCCCUUGACGCCGCCUUCUUCGAGGGCCUCGCCUUGCAGGGGGGAGGAGGCGGGGGUGGUGGUGGCCAUAAGAGGAGCGGGUCCAUGGAUGGGGUGAACUCGCCGUUCGAAGGCGAGUCGGCGCUGUCGGGCGGGCUGGACUACGCCAAGAAGGCCAUGCCGGCCGAGAGGAUCGCCGAGCUAGCUCUCCUUGACCCCAAACGCGCAAAGAGGAUUUUGGCAAACCGGCAGUCGGCGGCGAGGUCGAAGGAGAGGAAGAUCAAGUAUACCGGUGAGCUAGAGAGAAAGGUCCAGACACUGCAGACCGAGGCCACUACGCUAUCAGCACAGCUUACACUUCUCCAGAGGGAUACUUCUGGUUUAACUACUGAGAAUAGAGAACUCAAACUUCGGUUGCAGUCCAUGGAGGAGCAAGCUAAACUACGGGAUGCUCUAAACGACGCUCUGCGAGAAGAAGUCCAGCGACUUAAGAUAGCUGCAGGGCAAGCUCCAAACAUGAAUGGGAGUCAAUUCAACGGCGGACUCCAGCAGAUUCCAUCCUAUUUCUCUCAGUAA
Molecule: ribosomal RNA, 843 nt
Filed under: Triticum aestivum (bread wheat)
Lineage: Eukaryota; Viridiplantae; Streptophyta; Magnoliopsida; Poales; Poaceae
Description: partial small subunit ribosomal RNA
Source: RNAcentral